AGGCAGUGCAAUCAUGCUAUUUAUUAAAAGAAGCAUUGGACAAUCCGAAUGGACUUCAGAGCUGUGUCCUGAGCCAUCUGGCCAACUCUCGGGCAAGAAACUUCUUUGUUCUUUAGAGACCAAGCUUUUUCCCCAAGCGCUAACAGAAUUGAAAUGGAAGAAGUUGGAAUUAUUCGUCUUUGGAAUAAUCUUACCUCAACCAGGUGUGAGCUUACCCCACACACACUUCAAUUUUUAUUCCAUCGGGAUGGCGGAAACUUAGUCAAGCUUCCCUCGUGCCCUCACCUCCCAGAACGGACAGCUACACUUCAAAGUACGUGUGUGGUGAGUUCUACGGUGCGUCUGCCUGGGCAGCGGCUUCCCCCGGGAGCGCCCAUCCUCUGCCCUGGGUCUCAGGCCUCGGUCUCUGUGGGUCAACGCUGAGAUUGUCCUAUUCCUUCUCUCCUGGCCCUCCAGGUCCCUGGGUGUCCUCGGCUAAGUUCAAACCACGCUGGGGUACGGAGGGCUCGGAGGUGGUGUCGGGGGGCCUAUUUCUUAUACUCAGUAGACAAUUUCUCUCUUUCUGUGUUUGGGCAUUAGCUUGGAAUAAUUCUUUUUAUAUCUGCUUUCUGUUGUCACCUCUGAGCCACGCAGUAAUGACCACAGCCUGGCUGCUCUGAGUGUAAGGUGGGGAAGGGGAAAGUGGGGAAAUUUUGGGAAAUUGUCAGUUAGUUUUCAAAAAUGCUGUAUGUCUACAUUUCUAUUCUAGAAAAAUAGUUACUAAAACUAUUCCCCCCCCCCAAAAAAAAAAAUCCUACAGAAGUAUUCUUUCUUUUCUAGGUGGCCGUCUCCUGCUCCUCCUACCCACCCGCCUCAAUCAUGCUUUGGGUCUCCAUCCAGAACGUGUUCUUCGAGGACAGUAACUCCCACAGGGAAAGCAGCAUCUGGCCAUGUGGGUGAUCUAUUCUCCAGCCUCUCGAAGUUGUGUAGGUAAGUCUGGCUAAGUUACUGCCUCCCUCAUCUGGGGGUUGCUGCUUAUUCCCCCAGGAAGUUCUCUGUCCUUCCAAGACAGUCCUUUUGUCUCCAGGUUGCUCAACCACCUGCACUGACUGGCACAAGGUCCCACCGGGAUAAACCUCUGUUGGGCUUCACACAAAUCAGCUACUAAGCAGCUCCCUGCUUAAGGCUGGAGGUAGUGUGGGCUGGCUCCUGUCUCACAACUGUAGGCACAGCUUGCUUCACCUGAGAGAAGGCAAGGAAAAGUCUGGGAGCCACUGUCAUCUGGCUUGAGGGGGAAGACCGGCUAAGGCCACCAAGGUCUUUUCAGGCCCUGCGUGACUCCUCUCAGGAGCCUCUCUGGUUUCUGAGAUCGUCUAAGUCCUCCCCAGCUUCUAGAUGAGUAGCUGUGGGUUCUCUAUGAGUGCAGUCUACCGUGCAAUGUCAGUCUUUCCCCCAGGUAAAGAAACAUGAGCGGUGCAGGUGCCCUUAAGCCCUUAGAAAUUCUGGGACUGAGCGAUACCCUCCAGAUGGGUUUUGCGGACUAAUCAGAUAUGGGAAGUUAGGAAAGCUGUAGGUGAGAAUCUCUCACAUCAGAGAAAAUAUGGAGCUUGGACCGUUGGGGGCAAUGGGUGUGGAUGAGAAAGACUGUAGUCAUUUUGUCCUUGACCCAGAUGGCAAUAUGCUCUCUUAAUAAAGGUUUACAGGUCAUGGGCUAACCAUGUAAGGGGUUAGCUAACAGAAGAAACCAGGAAGGCGUCUGAACAGAUUUACCAGCUGUUGGGGCCAAUGCGUAGUUGUAGCGUCAGAAUUCCGUCCACCUGAAACUUGACCGCUCCAGGAUUGCUCCGUAAUUCCUUGAUUUAUUUUCUUUAGGGGAUCCCUUUUUUAGAUACCAGAUACUUUCCUAAACGAUAGUGUAUCUCAUUCGUACUAAGUGAACUAAAAAAAAGCAUUUGUGUUCUCACUUGAAUCCGAGUUAAAAAGGCAGGCUGCCUUCCGGGGGCGGGGGAAGCCGGGAGCAUGGUAAAGGAGCAAGAAUCAAGGACAGGGCGUCAUGGCGACGGAGGGAGAAGGUGGGGUUCCUCACAUACCUGCUUGCACACCUUUCUUUCCAUAAAUCCCAUUUCUCAAGUCUUAAAUGGUUGGUGGUUUGAUUUUUAAGAGGCAAAAAAGUUGUGAUACUAAGCAGUCCGAGGUAUUCUAGGCAUGUCGGAGUUGGCCCAGCCCCAGGACAGAACCGUCUACCUUACGUGACAUGUGACAUCGCCCGGUUGGGGCAAGUCCUAAUCAACUGCUAUAUGAUCUUCCUACUUAUUCAGGAGUAUGGGGUUUCCUUCACUUGAUUUUAGGGCUUAACAGAAGGAUAGAAUCCAGGGACUGGAGUCAAGAGGGCUUGGCUUCCUUGGCUGUGUUGGCUGCAUCGUCGGUGAAGUAGUUGACUUUUAGCUCGCAUGGGUAUGCUACCUUGGGGUCCUACAAACCAGAUACUGAUAUUUCAAAAUUCCCUGUAAGAGGAUUUUUUUCAUUACACCAAAUAUGUGAGAGGAAACAUUCACCUGAAGUAUUAAAACAAAAAAUCUUAAAAGGGGGGAGCAGGUUUUCGUGUAAUGGGAAACAAGAAACUAAUCAUUUUGGAGAAAACCACUCAUCUUUGAGUAAAUGUGUGUGAAUCCUAUUUUGCUCCUGAUGGCGCAUUGGUAAUUCCUGACUUGUACCAUUUCUGACUUGAAAUCUAAGUCUAAACUUAGAUACUUCAGAUUACUCAGAUAGUGGAUGUGGCUGAGUCUCUGUAGGAUGGCUGUGGUAUUUUGAGUAUAGUGCUGGAUUAUUUUGAUCAUUCAUGCUAAUACGUUCAUUCAGUGUAUUGUGGCAUCCACACUAGUGGUUCCCUGUGUUCUAAAGAACAUUGACGUCCCAAGGAAUAUGGAUAUUUUUGUUGAGGGCGGGGGAGGAGCAUAGAGGGGACAGUCUGUAGUCACAUUAAAUUUGAGAAAUUCUGGGUUAAGCAAAAGCUAAGCAGAUUUCUUUGUGAAAGACCUCUCCAAAGUCUUUAGUUUGCUGUAUGUGUCUUUUGAAUGUCUACCUCAGCCCUCCCCUUUGGGUAGAACAUCUGUUAAUAUCAUUCAGGAUGCUUUUUCUGUAAGAGAGUUAGGGAAACACCACUCAAUUCUAAGCAUACAAUGAAAUGCAAUUGUUUAAUCAUGACCAGAGGGAUUUUAGCCUCUCGCCAGAUGGUUGUGAAAGUAAAGCCCCAGAGCAACUGUUACCUCUUUUUUUGGAAGGCCUUGUGAGAAGGAUGUCUCUUUAUCUCAGAGAGCAUUAUACAGUCCUUGUAAGAAGGAAAAGGAACCCGAGGACCCUGUAAUUCUCUGGUUUUAGAAUGCAGUCUUUUACAACCUUUUUACCAAUUAAGGCACCUUUGUCUGAAAAUGUUAGACCAAAUCUUAAAAAGCGUCUUUGCUACCUACCAUCGUGCAACGAUUUCCCCGAUAUAUAGUGGGUUAAAAUAACAAAUGUCUCACAGUUUCUGUGAGUGGGGAGUUCGGGAGUGACUUAGCUGGAGUGUUCUUGCCAAGAAUCCCUCAUGAAGUUGUAUCUCAGGACAUAGGCAGAGGCUGCAGUCAUCUCAGGGCCUGACAGGGGGUGGGAGUUCUGCUUCCGAGACGACUCCCCUACCUGUCUGUUGGCAGGUGACCUCGGUCCUUUGUGAUGUGUGCUUCCCCUUAGGUUGCUUGUGUGUCCCCAUCCUGUGAUAGCUAGCUUCAGUCACCAGGAGUGACCCGGGGGAGAGCAGGAGGAGGAAGCCAAGGUGCCUUUCGAGAUCCGGUGUCUGAGGCUGCAUAAUGUCACCCUGCUUUAUUCUAUUUGUUAGAAAUGAGUUCCUGAGUCCAGCUCACCUUCGAGGGAGGAGAUUUAGGCUUCCCCUCCUGUGAGGAAAAGAGUGAAAGGGUUGUGGACACAUGUUAAAGCUACCACAGAAGGUUUAAACGACAAGGAUGUGAGAAGGGGCAACAUGGGGCAGUGCCUGGGCUUCUCUAGUUCAUCAUAUCGGUGCCGUCACCAGGGAUCCAAGUGCUUCCCAUCUUCCAUCCUGCCGUGCUCGCUGACUUGGCUUUGUGUUCAGGUUAGUUCCCUGCACAGUGACCGAAUGACUGCACAAGUUCUGGCUGUCCUGUCCAGCUGCAGUAAUAGCCAGAAGAACAAAUGGAUGGCAUCUUCCUUGUAACGUGAUUUUUUUUUAAUUUUUAUUUAUUUAUGAUAGUCACAGAGAGAGAGAGAGAGAGAGGCAGAGACACAGGCAGAGGGAGAAGCAGGCUCCAUGCAGGGAGCCUGACGUGGGAUUCGAUCCCGGGUCUCCAGGAUCGCGCCCUGGGCCAAAGGCAGGCGCUAAACCGCUGCGCCACCCAGGGAUCCCAACUUUUUGUUUUUUUCCAUUAGGAAACCUCUCCUGGGAGCUCAUAGUGGUUUCCUGUCUUGCCAGGAGGUCAGAACUGCAUCAUAUAUGCGCAAGACUGAACCAAUCACAGGCAAGAGGAGUGGGAUUGCUAUGAGUGACUUAGGUAGACUUUCGUAGAUUCGGGGUCGGGAUAUGUGCCCUGAAGUGAUCCUGAAGCAGAUGAGAGCUCCCUUUACAAGGAAGAGUGGAAAUGACUACUGAGCUGACAGUGACCAGGUAGCUUGUUCUGGAUUCUUCGCCUCUUUCCAUAAUGGUCUUCCAGUCACCACGCCACUCGUACAGGGCACCAUCGCCCCUUUUGCAGAAUAUAAAGGCUUAUCCUUUAGACGGAAGAUCGAGUCUAGGGAACCCCUCAAUAGUUCUUUAUAUAAAACUCAUUCUAGUUAAAAAAUAUUUUAAAAUUUCAGGAAAUGUAAUCUCAAGACACAUCUUUAAUCAUAUUCAAUGUGUUGUUGGAAAAGAGGGGUUAGUUAUUAAACUAAAUCCACCACUCACAAG
This 4933-nucleotide long non-coding RNA is filed under the name Canis lupus familiaris (dog). RNAcentral describes it as "lncRNA (ENSCAFG00040009381.1)". The record is from RNAcentral. Lineage: Eukaryota; Metazoa; Chordata; Mammalia; Carnivora; Canidae.